UACGAAGGGGACUAGCGUUGUUCGGAAUCACUGGGCGUAAAGCGCACGUAGGCGGAUGUGUCAGUCAGGGGUGAAAUCCCGGGGCUCAACCUCGGAACUGCCUUUGAUACAGCACGUCUCGAGUCCGGAAGAGGUGGGUGGAAUUCCUAGUGUAGAGGUGAAAUUCGUAGAUAUUAGGAAGAACACCGGUGGCGAAGGCGGCGACCUGGUCCGUGACUGACGCUGAGGCGCGAAAGCGUGGGGAGCAAACAGG
Molecule: ribosomal RNA, 253 nt
Filed under: uncultured bacterium
Lineage: Bacteria
Description: partial 16S ribosomal RNA
Rfam family: Bacterial small subunit ribosomal RNA
Source: RNAcentral